CAGUCGCCGCGGUAAUACAGAGGGUGCGAGCGUUAAUCGGAUUUACUGGGCGUAAAGCGUGCGUAGGCGGCUUUUUAAGUCGGAUGUGAAAUCCCUGAGCUUAACUUAGGAAUUGCAUUCGAUACUGGGAAGCUAGAGUAUGGGAGAGGAUGGUAGAAUUCCAGGUGUAGCGGUGAAAUGCGUAGAGAUCUGGAGGAAUACCGAUGGCGAAGGCAGCCAUCUGGCCUAAUACUGACGCUGAGGUACGAAAGAAUGGGGAGCAAACAGGAUUAGAUACCCGAGUAGUCCCUGUCUCUUAUAC
RNAcentral lists this ribosomal RNA (301 nucleotides) under uncultured bacterium. RNAcentral describes it as "partial 16S ribosomal RNA". It matches the Rfam family "Bacterial small subunit ribosomal RNA", at positions 509 to 807 of the family's 1533-position model. The record is from RNAcentral.